Molecule: long non-coding RNA, 695 nt
Filed under: Rattus norvegicus (Norway rat)
Lineage: Eukaryota; Metazoa; Chordata; Mammalia; Rodentia; Muridae
Description: long non-coding RNA NONRATT024374
Source: RNAcentral
UUUUGUUUUGUUCUUGUUUUCUAUGCAAAAAUGUCAAAACUUGCUAGGCUUUAGGAAAACAUCUUUGCAGCUUGUCCCCAUGCUUGAGAAUGGUGGGGGGGGGGGGGCGCCCUGCCCUGGCUUGGAAUACAUUAGAGCCUUCCUACUGAGAUACAGAAGGCGGGGAUGUCAAGAGGUAGGUCUGCCAAGUGCUAGCUACUUUUCUGUGGUCAGUCCACAGCUUAGCCUACGUGUGACAGAUGUGUCAUGUGUCUGCACACAUGCCUCCUGCUGCUGUGGUCCCUCAGCAUGUAAUCAGUCAUGGGACUGCUGGUCCUACACUGGCUGUGGGCAAUGGGAAAGUAGCUCCUCUACUGCAGCUCUAAGCCUGUCAGAGGAGUGCCUCCUGCUCCCAUAAGUUAGAGCUUUUCAUGUAAAAUACCUUUUUCAAAGAUUUAUUAUGUAUGCAGCAUUCUGCCUGCAUAUAUGCCUGUAUACCAGAAGAGGGCGCCCGAUCUCAUUACAGAUGGUUUUGAGCCACCGUGUGAUUGCUGGGAAUUGAACUGAAGACCUCUGAAGAGCAGCCAGGGCUCUUAACCUGUGAGCCAUCUCUCCGGCCUAGAAGAAGAAUUUUUAAUGAACACAUCUGUAGCUCUCUAGUUUGAUGUUUUCCUAGGAUGGGGAUCUCAUUAGGUUGCCUAGGCUGCUGUAAACAA